Molecule: ribosomal RNA, 208 nt
Filed under: uncultured bacterium
Lineage: Bacteria
Description: partial 16S ribosomal RNA
Rfam family: Bacterial small subunit ribosomal RNA
Source: RNAcentral
UUCGGAUUGUAGGCUGCAACCCGCCUGCAUGAAGUCGGAAUUGCUAGUAAUCGCGGAUCAGCAUGCCGCGGUGAAUACGUUCCCGGGCCUUGUACACACCGCCCGUCACACCAUGGGAGCCGGUAAUACCCGAAGUCAGUAGUCCAACCUCGUGAGGACGCUGCCGAAGGUAGGAUUGGCGACUGGGGUGAAGUCGUAACAAGGUAUC